Molecule: ribosomal RNA, 252 nt
Filed under: uncultured bacterium
Lineage: Bacteria
Description: partial 16S ribosomal RNA
Rfam family: Bacterial small subunit ribosomal RNA
Source: RNAcentral
UACGAAGGGGGCUAGCGUUGUUCGGAUUUACUGGGCGUAAAGCGCACGUAGGCGGUUUGUCGCGUCGGGAGUGAAAUCCACUGGCUUAACUGGUGGCUUGCUUCGAUACGGGCAGACUGGAGGUAUGCAGGGGAGAACGGAAUUCCUGGUGUAGCGGUGAAAUGCGCAGAUAUCAGGAGGAACACCGGUGGCGAAGGCGGUUCUCUGGGCAUGUCCUGACGCUGAGGAGCGAAAGUGUGGGGAGCGAACAGG